Molecule: ribosomal RNA, 497 nt
Filed under: uncultured bacterium
Lineage: Bacteria
Description: partial 16S ribosomal RNA
Rfam family: Bacterial small subunit ribosomal RNA
Source: RNAcentral
GACGAACGCUGGCGGCGUGCCUAAUACAUGCAAGUUGAGCGCUGAAGGUUGGUACUUGUACCAACUGGAUGAGCAGCGAACGGGUGAGUAACGCGUGGGGAAUCUGCCUUUGAGCGGGGGACAACAUUUGGAAACGAAUGCUAAUACCGCAUAAAAACUUUAAACACAAGUUUUAAGUUUGAAAGAUGCAAUUGCAUCACUCAAAGAUGAUCCCGCGUUGUAUUAGCUAGUUGGUGAGGUAAAGGCUCACCAAGGCGAUGAUACAUAGCCGACCUGAGAGGGUGGUCGGCCACAUUGGGACUGAGACACGGCCCAAACUCCUACGGGAGGCAGCAGUAGGGAAACGUCGGCAAUGGACGAAAGUCUGACCGAGCAACGCCGCGUGAGUGAAGAAGGUUGUCGGGUCGUAAAACUCUGUUGGUAGGGAAGAAAGUUGGUGAGAGUGGAAAGCUCAUCAAGUGACGGUAACUACCCAGAAAGGGACGGCUAACUACGUG